This 754-nucleotide ribosomal RNA is filed under the name uncultured archaeon. RNAcentral's name for it is "bacterial SSU rRNA". It matches the Rfam family "Archaeal small subunit ribosomal RNA", at positions 102 to 859 of the family's 1478-position model. The record is from RNAcentral.
GGGUAACAUGCCCUAAGGUGGGGGAUAAUCUCGGGAAACUGAGGAUAAUACCCCAUAGGUCUGAUAUGCUGGAAUGCUUUCAGGCCGAAAACUCCGGUGCCUUAGGAUUGGCCUGCGGUCUAUCAGGCUGUAGUGGGUGUAAUGGACCCACUAGCCCGUGACGGAUAUGGGCCUUGAGAGAGGGAGCCCAGAGAUGGACUCUGAGACAUGAGUCCAGGCCCUACGGGGCGCAGCAGUCGCGAAAACUUCGCAAUGGGGGCAACCCCGACGAGGGAAUUCCAAGUGCCAGCACUUUGUGUUGGCUGUUCUCCUGUCUAAAAAACAGGAGGAGUAAGGGGCGGGUAAGACGGGUGCCAGCCGCCGCGGUAAUACCCGCGCCCCUGGUGGUGGUCGAUAUUAUUGAGCCUAAAACGUCCGUAGCCGGUCUUCUAAAUCCUUGGGUAAAUCGGGCAGCUUAACUGUCCGAAGUCCGGGGAGACUGGGAGACUUGGGACCGGGAGAGGUCAGAGGUACUUCUGGGGUAGGGGUAAAAUCCUGUAAUCCUGGAAGGACCACCGGUGGCGAAGGCGUCUGACUAGAACGGAUCCGACGGUGAGGGACGAAGCCCUGGGGCGCAAACGGGAUUAGAUACCCCGGUAGUCCAGGGUGUAAACGCUGCGGGCUUGGUGUUGGGGGUCCUUAGUGGGCGCCCAGUGCCGGAGAGAAGUUGUUAAGCCUGCUGCUUGGGGAGUAUGUCCGCAAGGAUGAAACUUAA